This 373-nucleotide ribosomal RNA is filed under the name uncultured organism. RNAcentral describes it as "partial 16S ribosomal RNA". It matches the Rfam family "Bacterial small subunit ribosomal RNA", at positions 527 to 896 of the family's 1533-position model. The record is from RNAcentral.
GUAGGUGGCAAGCGUUGUCCGGAAUUAUUGGGCGUAAAGCGCGCGCAGGCGGUCCUUUAAGUCUGAUGUGAAAGCCCACGGCUCAACCGUGGAGGGUCAUUGGAAACUGGGGGACUUGAGUACAGAAGAGGAAAGCGGAAUUCCAAGUGUAGCGGUGAAAUGCGUAGAGAUUUGGAGGAACACCAGUGGCGAAGGCGGCUUUCUGGUCUGUAACUGACGCUGAGGCGCGAAAGCGUGGGGAGCAAACAGGGAUUAGAUACCCUGGUCGUCCACGCCGUAAACGAUGAGUGCUAAGUGUUAGGGGGUUUCCCGCCCCUUAGUGCUGCAGCUAACGCAUUAAGCACUCCGCCUGGGGAGUACGGCCGCAAGGCUG